This is a long non-coding RNA of Myotis lucifugus (little brown bat), 1032 nucleotides long. RefSeq lists it as uncharacterized. The transcript is spliced from 2 exons. Lineage: Eukaryota; Metazoa; Chordata; Mammalia; Chiroptera; Vespertilionidae. The record is from RefSeq and is a predicted model, not a curated record.
GGUCACACGGGGCCUGGACGAGGCGGGAGGACAGCCAGGACCCAGCAUCCUGCAGAGUUCCUGGCGAGGACGCUGGGACAUGGCCUUGGCGUCUGGCAGGACGUGGGGACAGGAAGGCCCCCUGCCCUCCCCAAGGACCUGGCUGGGCGGGCGAUGUUUGCAGGUGCGUCUCCAGGGAGCAGGAAACAAGCUUCCGGAUAACUGUUCCCGCAGAGAGCGGCGGGGACGCCAGCGCCCGCCCUGCUGGGGGCUGGGUGCCUGAGCCAGCAGCCACCCCAGGUGCCCAACCUGCACGUGGGCCGGAGGCAGGGGUCGCCCAGGCCAGCAACUGGGCAGCUCCUUGCCACGCACGUGCUGUGCCCAGGGGGCAGCGGAGCUCUGGGGACACCUGGCAGCUCAGCCAGAAAUGCCAAAGCAAGAGCUCCCGGGCAUCAUGGCCGCCAUCCGAGCCACCUUAAACCGUGCUGCUCUCCCUGCAGCGCCCACAGGCUCCGCUGAGGAGUGGGAGCCCUUGCUGGGAGGGCCACGCCUGCCCUGCAAGGAGCUGGAACCCUCAGAGCCCCUGCAGGGGGACGUGCCCGAGGCUGCGGCCUGAGGCUGGCUCCAGGCGACCUUCCUGCCAAGCCCUGGGACAGGAGGGGCAGCUGCGGCUUCCCCUCGAGCUAUAAAAAGCCCAAGCCCGGCCCAGCGAGCAGAGGGCAGAGCGAGGGACAGGACGCACAGGACUCGGAGCUCGGACCAGCAACAUGAGGUUGGGCCCCGCCAUCAGGCUGCUGCAAGCCCCCCUGAGGGCCUGCGUGGUCCCCAAGGCGCAUAUCUCCGCCAAGCCGGCCAAAACACCCACUUCUGCCUCCGAGCAGGCUGCGGCGCUCGUGGUGACCUUCCUCAGCUUCAUGGUCCCCUCGGGCUGGGUGCUGUCCCACCUGCAGAGCUACAAGAGCCGCUCCGCCGAGUGAGGCUCUGCCCAGCGAGGCCGGGCAGCUGCCGCCGUGGACAUGGGAGGGAGCUCUCAUUAAACCCUCCCCCACCGAA